GAUGAACGCUGGCGGCGUGCCUAAUACAUGCAAGUCGAGCGAACGGACGAGAAGCUUGCUUCUCUGAUGUUAGCGGCGGACGGGUGAGUAACACGUGGAUAACCUACCUAUAAGACUGGGAUAACUUCGGGAAACCGGAGCUAAUACCGGAUAAUAUUUUGAACCGCAUGGUUCAAAAGUGAAAGACGGUCUUGCUGUCACUUAUAGAUGGAUCCGCGCUGCAUUAGCUAGUUGGUAAGGUAACGGCUUACCAAGGCAACGAUGCAUAGCCGACCUGAGAGGGGGAUCCGCCCACCUGGACCGGCGACCGGUUCCAGCCUCCUCGGGGGGGCCGGAGUAGGAAAUUUUCCGGAAUGGGGGAAAGCCUGACGGGGCAACGCCGGGGGAGUGAUGAAGGUCUUCGGUUCGUAAAACUUUUUUAUGAGGGAAAAACAAAUGGGUAAGUAACUGGGCCCAUCUUGACGGUCCCUAAUCAGAAAGCCACGGCUAACUCCUU
This 496-nucleotide ribosomal RNA is filed under the name uncultured bacterium. RNAcentral's name for it is "partial 16S ribosomal RNA". It matches the Rfam family "Bacterial small subunit ribosomal RNA", at positions 28 to 506 of the family's 1533-position model. The record is from RNAcentral.